Herpailurus yagouaroundi (jaguarundi) is the source of this 367-nucleotide long non-coding RNA. RefSeq lists it as uncharacterized. The record is from RefSeq and is a predicted model, not a curated record. NCBI's taxonomy places the organism in Eukaryota, Metazoa, Chordata, Mammalia, Carnivora, Felidae. The transcript has 3 exons.
UCAGAGCUCCUUUUACCUCCAUAUCUGUGCAUCUCUCAACGGUAAUUCUGCAGAUUCAGAAUUUGACCAUGCUAAGAGCUAAGUAUGUAUAAUUUUUCAUCAUCCACCUGAAAAACAGCACCUGAAACUGGGAGCACAUCACAGAGCAGGCAUAAGACUGACAAUGGAACUAUUCUGGGCAACAUUGUCAUUAAGGGACAUGUGACAAUUUCCAAAAAAUGCUCCUUUUAGAAACAUGAGAAAAAACCCACUUUUUUUAAUCUUCAGGAAAAUGAAGUGAUUCCUUAAAAGUAAACACAGCAUUAAGGCAAAACAGUCUUUCCUUAAAAAUCAAAAAUAUUUAAGGGGCUCCUGAGUGGUUCAGUCA